Molecule: ribosomal RNA, 496 nt
Filed under: uncultured bacterium
Lineage: Bacteria
Description: partial 16S ribosomal RNA
Rfam family: Bacterial small subunit ribosomal RNA
Source: RNAcentral
AUGCACGCUGGCGGCGUGCCUAAUACAUGCAAGUCGAGCGAACAGACGAGGAGCUUGCUCCUCUGACGUUAGCGGCGGACGGGUGAGUAACACGUGGAUAACCUACCUAUAAGACUGGGAUAACUUCGGGAAACCGGAGCUAAUACCGGAUAAUAUAUUGAACCGCAUGGUUCAAUAGUGAAAGACGGUUUUGCUGUCACUUAUAGAUGGAUCCGCGCCGCAUUAGCUAGUUGGUAAGGUAACGGCUUACCAAGGCAACGAUGCGUAGCCGACCUGAGAGGGUGAUCGGCCACACUGGAACUGAGACACGGUCCAGACUCCUACGGGAGGCAGCAGUAGGGAAUCUUCCGCAAUGGGCGAAAGCCUGACGGAGCAACGCCGCGUGAGUGAUGAAGGUCUUCGGAUCGUAAAACUCUGCUAUUAGGGAAGAACAAAUGUGUAAGUAACUAUGCACGUCUUGACGGUACCUAAUCAGAAAGCCACGGCUAACUACGUG